GGAGCACGCUUAGGCGUGUGACUGCGUACCUUUUGUAUAAUGGGUCAGCGACUUAUAUUCUGUAGCAAGGUUAACCGAAUAGGGGAGCCGAAGGGAAACCGAGUCUUAACUGGGCGUUAAGUUGCAGGGUAUAGACCCGAAACCCGGUGAUCUAGCCAUGGGCAGGUUGAAGGUUGGGUAACACUAACUGGAGGACCGAACCGACUAAUGUUGAAAAAUUAGCGGAUGACUUGUGGCUGGGGGUGAAAGGCCAAUCAAACCGGGAGAUAGCUGGUUCUCCCCGAAAGCUAUUUAGGUAGCGCCUCGUGAAUUCAUCUCCGGGGGUAGAGCACUGUUUCGGCAAGGGGGUCAUCCCGACUUACCAACCCGAUGCAAACUGCGAAUACCGGAGAAUGUUAUCACGGGAGACACACGGCGGGUGCUAA
RNAcentral lists this ribosomal RNA (425 nucleotides) under Escherichia coli. Its description in RNAcentral is "partial 23S ribosomal RNA". It matches the Rfam family "Bacterial large subunit ribosomal RNA", at positions 576 to 1001 of the family's 2925-position model. The record is from RNAcentral. Lineage: Bacteria; Pseudomonadati; Pseudomonadota; Gammaproteobacteria; Enterobacterales; Enterobacteriaceae.